GGCCAAACUUAAUCAUUUCUAACUUUCUAUUUAAAGUGAGAGAUGUGUGACUCUGCCUUUCAGUUGAACACUUAAAGGCUAUUGUAGGGUUAUUAAUUGGCCUAAUUUCAAUAUUGUUUGUCUCAGGGAAUUGAGGAGGCCCAAGGAGAGGGAGAGAUGGGGGAACGGCCAGUUGAUGGAGCAGUCAGAACACAUAUUUUUAUCAGUUAAAUUUGCUGUCUUAUAUGGGCACUGUUUGUGGUGCCCCCAAACAAUUCGAAUAGUAACAUGAAAGAUCACUGAGCACAGGUCACCUCAGCGAUAUAAUAAUAAGAAAGAGUUUGAAAUAUUGUGAGAAUUCUGAAAAUGUGGCACAGAGACUCAAAGUGAGCACAUGCCGCUGGAAAAACGGUGCUGAUAGACUUGCUCGAUACACAGUUGCCACAGACCUUCAAUUUAAAAAAAAAAAUGCAAUAUCUGAAGUACAAUUGAGUGAAGAUAAAUAAAACAAGGUAUGCUGCUGACACGGCCCUGCCCUCAUGGAGCCUGCUGACAUCAACAAACCACACGUCAACAAAUUCACAGCACAUUGUGGGGUGCAGGGCUGUGGAGUGAAGCCAGCCUGGGCAGGGGGCCUGGGAGGUGAGGGAGGAUGCUGGGGCUGCCCCUGUAAAUGACCCCAUGCUUCUACACCAUAGAGAGAGCACGUUGUGUUACGUGACUGAUAAGUACAUAGAGGAGUGGGAAGAGAGCAGGGCUGGCCCUCACGGCUGGCCUUGUGUCCCACUGAACAGGGACGAUCUCACAAACACCAACUCAGACAAGAGCAUGCAUGAUGGCACCAGAUCAAGACCAAAAUAAGACCACUCUGCCUGCAAUUUUGUCUGCUCAGACCAAAGCAAGAAGAUUGAAACAAAAAAAUGAUCCCUCAUCGCCUAUCCUGGCUGAUGUCAGUGAUGGCUGCUUUUCUGCCAACAGUGGCUUUAGCCUCACACGGUUCUUUUAGCCUUUUAGGUGAGAAUUAUUAAGAUAGCCAAGCACAGAAUCAUCCCCUUCUUCCUGACAGCAUCCUGGAUCCUCCCCUGAAUCACCCAACUCAAGCCCAGACAUUAUAAGUCCUUUUUGAUAUUAUUGAGACCUCCUCAUGGUUACCUGUGGUUUAUGGUUUCAUGAAACGAGUAAAAAACCUCAAUUUUGUUUGGCUAUAAGUGUGCUCCUGGUGGUCUUUGGCUAGAGAAUGUUGACAAUGGAAAAGUAAUAAAAAUUAAAUGAUUUGAGCAGAAAUAAUAGUUUAGUUUAAUAUCCUCUGUUUUUAGAAACUUGAGGAGAGAUUCUCUCCCUCUAUUCUCUACACUGGAGGACUUUGGUAAGCAAAAGGCCUUGAUGACCAUAAGGAGAACUUUGGAAAUCAAAGCUUAGUUACGGUUUCAGUGGACAAGAAAGUUUUCUCACCUGAAAAAUCAAAUUCCCCUGUGAAUUGUUAGGUCCUCUGAUGCACUACGCAGAAUUUACUUAGUUUGGUGAUUAGACUGGAAGUGGAAUAGAAGUGUGAAGGAUACUGUCUUAGUUUGCUGGGGCUACCAUAACAAGCUAACCAACAAACUAACCGACUGAGAGGCUUCAAUGACAGAAAAGAAAUUUUUUCCAGCCUCCAGAGCUGUGAGAACUAACUUUACAUUGUUGGAGCUGUCUGUGGUACUUUGUGAUGGCAGCCUACACAAACACACACACCAGCCCUUGAAUCCAGGCUGGCCUGGGGCCUCGCUGUGACCUGGAGACGGCGGUGGAAGUGCCUCGAGACACGCUGACGCUUCCACUCUUGCCCUCCUGCUGCCCUGAGAUGCCUUGUGAAUUCUCCCGGGCAGACCCCCCCGGGGGAUGAGGCCACGUGGAGAGGGAGGCCCCGCUGUCAGCCAGCACCAGCCUCCAGAUGGCCGGGCCAGGUCAUCUUAGACAACUGGGGCCACAUGAGUGACCCUGGGCCACAGCAACCCCAACUGCUCACCCACAGAUAUAAUCAUGAACCAAUUAAACGGUUGUUGUCUUAAGCCAAUAUAUUUUGGUGGGGAUGGGGGGUUCUUACACAGCCAUGGAUAACUAGACGUUAAAUUUGGGCUGGAAACUAAAUAAAAUAAAUAAAAAUCAGAUAAAACUAAAUACAGAGCCCAUGCACCAGGCUAAAAGGAUUUCCCAAAAUUCAUUCAUUCAGUAAAUGCCAUUUGGGUGCCCACCAAGGCCAGGCGCUGUUCUAGGCACUUGGGAUACAUCAGUGAGCAAAACAGACAGAGCUCUCUGCUUUCAUAGUAACCCCGAUACACAUAGUAAAAAGUAAAACGUGGUAAGUGAGAUGGGAGAACAUUCUAAACAGGGUAAGAGGAAAUACAGGGGUAAAAGACGGCAGGC
This 2382-nucleotide long non-coding RNA is filed under the name Homo sapiens (human). RNAcentral describes it as "LNC_000260". Lineage: Eukaryota; Metazoa; Chordata; Mammalia; Primates; Hominidae. The record is from RNAcentral.